UACGUAGGCAGCGAGCGUUGUUCGGAAUUACUGGGCGUAAAGGGCGUGUAGGCGGACCGGCGCGUCCCGUGUGAAAGCCCCCUGGCUCAACUGGGGGAGGUCAUGGGAAACGGUCGGACUGGAGCCCGGUAGGGGGCCAUGGAAUUCCCGGUGUAGUGGUGGAAUGCGUAGAGAUCGGGAGGAACACCUGUGGCGAAGGCGGUGGCCUGGACCGGUGCUGACGCUGAGGCGCGAAGGCGUGGGGAGCGAUCCGG
RNAcentral lists this ribosomal RNA (254 nucleotides) under uncultured bacterium. RNAcentral describes it as "partial 16S ribosomal RNA". It matches the Rfam family "Bacterial small subunit ribosomal RNA", at positions 524 to 776 of the family's 1533-position model. The record is from RNAcentral.